GCUGGGCAUGAUAGCGCAUGCCUUUAAUCCCAGCACUUGGGAGGCUGAGACAGGAGGAUCAUGAGUUCAAAGCCAGCCUCAGCAAAAAAAGUGAGGUGCUAAGUAACUCAGUGAGACCCUGUCUCUA
RNAcentral lists this small RNA (127 nucleotides) under Marmota monax (woodchuck). The record is from RNAcentral. Lineage: Eukaryota; Metazoa; Chordata; Mammalia; Rodentia; Sciuridae.